RNAcentral lists this ribosomal RNA (382 nucleotides) under uncultured bacterium. RNAcentral describes it as "bacterial SSU rRNA". It matches the Rfam family "Bacterial small subunit ribosomal RNA", at positions 521 to 896 of the family's 1533-position model. The record is from RNAcentral.
UAAGACAGAGGAGCCAAGCGUUGUCCGGAUUGACUGGGCGUAAAGCGCACGCAGGCGGUCGUGCACGUGGGGUGUGAAAACUGGCGGCUUAACUGCCAGAGGCCACCUCAUACGGCGCGACUCGAGCCAUGCAGAGGUCCACGGAAUUGCCGGUGUAGUGGUGAAAUGCGUAGAGAUCGGCAGGAACACCCAGGGGGAAACCAGUGGACUGGGCAUGUGCUGACGCUCAGGUGCGAAAGCGUGGGGAGCGAACCGGAUUAGAUACCCGGGUAGUCCACGCCGUAAACGAUGAAUACUCGGCAUCUGAUGGGCGAUUCUCGUCCGUCGGGUGCCCUAGCUAACGCGAUAAGUAUUCCGCCUGGGAACUACGAGCGCAAGCUUA